CAGAGAAUAGUUUAAAUAAAAUAUUAAUUUUGGAGAUUAAAGAUAGUAAAAUUAUUUUCUCUGA
This 64-nucleotide transfer RNA is filed under the name Nosodendron fasciculare. RNAcentral describes it as "tRNA-Pro". The record is from RNAcentral. Lineage: Eukaryota; Metazoa; Arthropoda; Insecta; Coleoptera; Nosodendridae.